GCAUAUCAAUAAGCGGAGGAAAAGAAACUAACAAGGAUUCCCCUAGUAACGGCGAGUGAACCGGGAAGAGCUCAAAUUUGAAAUCUGGCGUCCUCAGGGCGUCCGAGUUGUAAUCUAUAGAGGCGUUUUCCGUGCCGGACCGUGUCCAAGUUCCUUGGAACAGGAUAUCAAAGAGGGUGACAAUCCCGUACUUGACACGACGACCGGUGCUCUGUGAUACGUCUUCUACGAGUCGAGUUGUUUGGGAAUGCAGCUCAAAAUGGGUGGUGAGUUCCAUCUAAAGCUAAAUAUUGGCGAGAGACCGAUAGCGAACAAGUACCGUGAGGGAAAGAUGAAAAGCACUUUGGAAAGAGAGUUAAACAGUACGUGAAAUUGUUGAAAGGGAAACGAUUGAAGUCAGUCGUGACCGAGAGGCUCAGCCGGUUCUGCCGGUGUAUUCCCCUCGGUCGGGUCAACAUCAGUUUUGUCCGGUGGAUAAGGGCGGUAGGAAGGUGGCACCCUCGGGUGUGUUAUAGCCUGCCGUCGCAUACAUCGGGUG
Molecule: ribosomal RNA, 538 nt
Filed under: Papiliotrema laurentii
Lineage: Eukaryota; Fungi; Basidiomycota; Tremellomycetes; Tremellales; Rhynchogastremaceae
Description: eukaryotic LSU rRNA
Rfam family: Eukaryotic large subunit ribosomal RNA
Source: RNAcentral